CAAUAGCGUAUAUUAAAGUUGUUGCAGUUAAAAAGCUCGUAGUUGGAUUUCGGGGCAGCCUGGCUGGUCCGCCGCAAGGCGAGUACUGGUCAGCCGCCCUUCCUCUCGAAAGCCCCGACUGCUCUUCGUUGCAGUGGUCGGGUAGUUCGGGACGUUUACUUUGAAAAAAUUAGAGUGUUCAAGGCAGGCCUACGCCUGAAUACAUUAGCAUGGAAUAAUGGAAGAGGACCUCGGUCCUAUUUUGUUGGUUUCCAGGGCCGAAGUAAUGAUUAAGAGGGACAGUUGGGGGCAUUCGUAUUUAAUUGUCAGAGGUGAAAUUCUCGGAUUUAUGAAAGACGAACAACUGCGAAAGCAUUUGCCAAGGAUGUUCUCAUUAA
This 377-nucleotide ribosomal RNA is filed under the name uncultured eukaryote. Its description in RNAcentral is "partial 18S ribosomal RNA". It matches the Rfam family "Eukaryotic small subunit ribosomal RNA", at positions 592 to 976 of the family's 1831-position model. The record is from RNAcentral.